CUAGCCUCUGCAUCUCUCGUGUUGCUGUACAGAUUACUGGUCAGUGACCUAGCUAGUAUGCAAGACAAUGCGCUUCGUCAGCAUGUCACGAGCGAUGCACGACAUGCAUGCAUGGACGACGCAUGUAUAUGAAUAUAUUUGAUGAGGGCGUGGCUAUUUUUUCUUCCCCAUGACGGUGAAUCCAAGCCGAACGAGGACACGAGAGAAGGUCGGCGAGCGAGAAGAACUGUCCUGGAUUGAGAGAAGAACUUUCCUGAAGACAGUAUAUAUAUCCAGUUAUUAUGUACUGUACAAUUCAGGUUCCAGCUACCAGCUUCUUUAAUUUAUUAGCAAGAGCACAGCCAGCUCCAAUCGGUUUUCAGUCCACAUUACUGGACCGUUUGUUACACAGCUCCACCUCCCUAGCUUACGUUUAAAGGCUUAUACGUUUAAUCUAUUACAAGCAAAUUAAUUGAGCCAUGUAAAUGUACUAAAUAUGUGUCUCCCUAGCUGGCUAGCUGUAGACCCAAAAUUAAUGUACUAAAUAUGUGUCUCCCUAGCUGUAGACCCAAAAUUAAUUUCAUGGAGCUACAGAUACUCACAU
Molecule: non-coding RNA, 583 nt
Filed under: Zea mays
Lineage: Eukaryota; Viridiplantae; Streptophyta; Magnoliopsida; Poales; Poaceae
Source: RNAcentral